Molecule: unclassified non-coding RNA, 320 nt
Filed under: uncultured fungus
Lineage: Eukaryota; Fungi
Description: partial internal transcribed spacer 1
Source: RNAcentral
GCAAACUUGGUCAUUUAGAGGAAGUAAAAGUCGUAACAAGGUUUUGUUGGUCCUUCCCGGGUGAACGCCACAACGGAAGCCUAUGCCGCCAGAAAUGGUGCAUAUACCGCGACUCUAAAUAAGUAUGUAUAUCAAGGGCAAGUCAUGUCCUGUAAUGGGUUAUGGCAACGCUGUCAAAUUGCGGCGAGUCCCUAAAGACCCGUGCGACCAAGCGCCAUCCGAAAGGGUGGCGUGGCCGAGUUAGCAGCCCUGGGUAUGGUAACACUGCACGAGUAUGAUCGGCCUCCUUGUGGGAGCCGUGAAAUGGGUAAGCACGCAGC